Molecule: ribosomal RNA, 497 nt
Filed under: uncultured bacterium
Lineage: Bacteria
Description: partial 16S ribosomal RNA
Rfam family: Bacterial small subunit ribosomal RNA
Source: RNAcentral
GAUGAACGCUGGCGGCGUGCCUAAUACAUGCAAGUCGAGCGAACGGACGAGAAGCUUGCUUCUCUGAUGUUAGCGGCGGACGGGUGAGUAACACGUGGAUAACCUACCUAUAAGACUGGGAUAACUUCGGGAAACCGGAGCUAAUACCGGAUAAUAUUUUGAACCGCAUGGUUCAAAAGUAAAAGACGGUCUUGCUGUCACUUAUAGCUGGAUCCGCGCUGCAUUAGCUAGUUGGUAAGGUAACGGCUUACCAAGGCAACGAUGCAUAGCCGACCUGAGAGGGUGAUAGGCCACACUGGAACUGAGACACGGUCCAGACUCCUACGGGAGGCAGCAGUAGGGAAUCUUCCGCAAUGGGCGAAAGCCUGACGGAGCAACGCCGCGUGAGUGAUGAAGGUCUUCGGAGCGUAAAACUCUGUUAUUAGGGAAGAACAUAUGUGUAAGUAACUGUGCACAUCUUGACGGUACCUAAUCAGAAAGCCACGGCUAACUACGUG